Arabidopsis thaliana (thale cress) is the source of this 204-nucleotide long non-coding RNA. RefSeq annotates it as other RNA. The transcript has a single exon. Lineage: Eukaryota; Viridiplantae; Streptophyta; Magnoliopsida; Brassicales; Brassicaceae. The record is from RefSeq.
CAGGCCUUUUUUCUCUGUGUCUUUGUUCAAAACAGUAUUUUUCAAUAUGGUACUACAAUUAGGUACUUUUCUCAGCUGCAUUGAUGUUUUUAUCCCAAUCUCCAGUUCUGCAAUUUACCCCAACGAGAAUGGUCUCUGCAAUUCACCAAUCUCCAGUUCUUUCGUCUCUACAAUUCACCAUAAUCGCAACUCCUUCAGCUCUUU